AGGAGAAGUCGUAACAAGGUUUCCGUAGGUGAACCUGCGGAAGGAUCAUUGAACACACGAUCUCGAAAAACCC
RNAcentral lists this ribosomal RNA (73 nucleotides) under Cheilolejeunea unciloba. RNAcentral's name for it is "partial 18S ribosomal RNA". The stretch from base 1 to 51 matches the Rfam family "Eukaryotic small subunit ribosomal RNA", at positions 1781 to 1831 of the family's 1831-position model. Lineage: Eukaryota; Viridiplantae; Streptophyta; Jungermanniopsida; Porellales; Lejeuneaceae. The record is from RNAcentral.